RNAcentral lists this ribosomal RNA (288 nucleotides) under Bacillus pumilus. RNAcentral describes it as "partial 16S ribosomal RNA". It matches the Rfam family "Bacterial small subunit ribosomal RNA", at positions 444 to 730 of the family's 1533-position model. The record is from RNAcentral. Lineage: Bacteria; Bacillati; Bacillota; Bacilli; Caryophanales; Bacillaceae.
CAAGUGCGAGAGUAACUGCUCGCACCAUGACGGUACCUAACCAGAAAGCCACGGCUAACUACGUGCCAGCAGCCGCGGUAAUACGUAGGUGGCAAGCGUUGUCCGGAAUUAUUGGGCGUAAAGGGCUCGCAGGCGGUUUCUUAAGUCUGAUGUGAAAGCCCCCGGCUCAACCGGGGAGGGUCAUUGGAAACUGGGAAACUUGAGUGCAGAAGAGGAGAGUGGAAUUCCACGUGUAGCGGUGAAAUGCGUAGAGAUGUGGAGGAACACCAGUGGUGAAGGCGACUCUCU